Long non-coding RNA from Columba livia (rock pigeon), 996 nucleotides. RefSeq lists it as uncharacterized. The transcript has 2 exons. The record is from RefSeq and is a predicted model, not a curated record. Lineage: Eukaryota; Metazoa; Chordata; Aves; Columbiformes; Columbidae.
GGGGAGGAGGUGUGCUGAGACGAGCUUUCGGGAAGGCACCUCUGGGCGGUCCCGUUCGCAGUUGUCACUUGGUCUGGAGUUCCCAUUACAAAGGGGCUCCAUAAACCUUCUCGUUGGAGACUGGUACUUGAUCCUUCUCCUUCUCAGGGGAGGGAAGGGAGACAGGUUGGGGAGAUCAAGGAGCCAAGAGGAAAAGGUUUAGUCUGGUCAAGCCUAUAGCAAGAGGCUGGAGCUGCCAAGCAAGUACUGCAGCCAGGAGGCAGACUCAAAAUUUCCUGACCAAGGCAAAAGCCUGGUGGGGGAGGAUGUGCAGGUCACCCAGCCCUUGGCCAGCCAUGGGGAAGGAGCACAUGUGUGUGUGCACCCCCACGUUCCCCACAGCCAGACUCGUCCCAGCUGCUUUGUACAGUCGGAUGGACACAGAACCAAGGGCACGUCGCAAUCUCCGCCUCAGGUUAGGAGAUAAGCAGCCCUGCCUUAAUGAGGACAUGAUAUACCUGGCGAGACUGUACCCUUUGCAGGGAACAACAGGCUCUUUCACUCCGGGCGCUGGCACAGCCGGGAGCAGUCAUGGGGCAGAGGGAACCACGGACAAUAAAUCAGCUCAGCACCACCAGCCACAGGAAGCUGCCAGGGGUGUGGGGCCACCCCAUCAGCCCCACAUAGGCUGCUGUUGGGAAGUCCUGGGGUGCCCCGUAUUGGAUUCCACCAGCAAUCAAAGAAGCAGGGCAAAUCUGGAGGGCUACAGCUUUGCUAAAAACUGGCUUCCUCAAGAACGUUCAGGUGGAGACAGUGGCUCUCCAGCACUGAGGAGAAAGCUGCAUUUCUGCCUCCAGGAUCAGCCGAGGCAAGCCCAUCCCAGAGGGAAAGGACAGCAUUACCACGCCGAGAGACAUCUGCCUUCUGCCUGGGAGGCAAAGUCCAUGCUGAAAGGAGCCAAAUCUUUACUGUACGUAUCUAAAAGCAUUGAAUUAUUAAAGAGAAGAGAUAUCUUAA